This 465-nucleotide ribosomal RNA is filed under the name uncultured Klebsiella sp. Its description in RNAcentral is "bacterial SSU rRNA". It matches the Rfam family "Bacterial small subunit ribosomal RNA", at positions 338 to 795 of the family's 1533-position model. The record is from RNAcentral. Lineage: Bacteria; Pseudomonadati; Pseudomonadota; Gammaproteobacteria; Enterobacterales; Enterobacteriaceae.
CCUACGGGUGGCUGCAGUGGGGAAUAUUGCACAAUGGGCGCAAGCCUGAUGCAGCCAUGCCGCGUGUGUGAAGAAGGCCUUCGGGUUGUAAAGCACUUUCAGCGGGGAGGAAGGCGGUGAGGUUAAUAACCUCAUCGAUUGACGUUACCCGCAGAAGAAGCACCGGCUAACUCCGUGCCAGCAGCCGCGGUAAUACGGAGGGUGCAAGCGUUAAUCGGAAUUACUGGGCGUAAAGCGCACGCAGGCGGUCUGUCAAGUCGGAUGUGAAAUCCCCAGGCUCAACCUGGGAACUGCAUUCGAAACUGGCAGGCUAGAGUCUUGUAGAGGGGGGUAGAAUUCCAGGUGUAGCGGUGAAAUGCGUAGAGAUCUGGAGGAAUACCGGUGGCGAAGGCGGCCCCCUGGACAAAGACUGACGCUCAGGUGCGAAAGCGUGGGGAGCAAACAGGAUUAGAUACCCGUGUAGUC